Molecule: long non-coding RNA, 484 nt
Filed under: Betta splendens (Siamese fighting fish)
Lineage: Eukaryota; Metazoa; Chordata; Actinopteri; Anabantiformes; Osphronemidae
Description: lncRNA (ENSBSLG00000001233.1)
Source: RNAcentral
CUUGAGGGGGGGAAAGACUGAGGGGGAGAACAGGGAGAGAGACCGAAUAAGAGAUUAAGUUGAGGAGGGAGGGAGGGAUGGAGAGGCCCCUUGUGAGAAAGAAAUAUGAGAAAAGGCGAGAAUGAUAAUGCCUAAAUACAGAAAUACGGAGUGUGUGUGUGCAUGUGUGUGUGUCAGAGAAAGAAUAACAGGGUAAUAAGGAUGAAAUGUUUUUCUGCACCUCCGAGUCUCAGUUGGCUGUUCCUCCCUCCUGACGUCUGACAGUUCCCCUAAACUGGAUUCUGGAGGCGACUGGAGGCCCAGCUCACGUACUAAAACUACACGAUCAGCAGCGUCUGAAGACUCCGCUUUCUAUCAAUGCAAUAACUGGACGCGCUGCGUGAAGGUCAGACUGCCUGAGCUCCGUUCAGCUGCACCUGAGACGAAUGAGGAGCUCCGCCCUCGUUUCCUGACUGUGCGACUACACAAACACCGCGACGCCUGA